RNAcentral lists this ribosomal RNA (207 nucleotides) under uncultured bacterium. RNAcentral's name for it is "partial 16S ribosomal RNA". It matches the Rfam family "Bacterial small subunit ribosomal RNA", at positions 568 to 774 of the family's 1533-position model. The record is from RNAcentral.
CACGUAGGUGGUUUUGUAAGUCGGAUGUGAAAUCCCCGGGCUUAACCCGGGAACUGCAUUCGAGACUGCAUUACUCGAGUAUGGGAGAGGGAAGCGGAAUUUCCGGUGUAGCGGUGAAAUGCGUAGAUAUCGGAAGGAACAUCAGUGGCGAAGGCGGCUUCCUGGCCCAAUACUGACACUCAUGUGCGAAAGCGUGGGGAGCAAACA